GAUGAACGCUGGCGGCGUGCCUAAUACAUGCAAGUCGAGCGAACGGACGAGAAGCUUGCUUUUCUGAUGUUAGCGGCGGACGGGUGAGUAACACGUGGAUAACCUACCUAUAAGACUGGGAUAACUUCGGGAAACCGGAGCUAAUACCGGAUAAUAUUUUGAACCGCAUGGUUCAAAAGUGAAAGACGGUCUUGCUGUCACUUAUAGAUGGAUCCGCGCUGCAUUAGCUAGUUGGUAAGGUAACGGCUUACCAAGACAACGAUGCAUAGCCGACCUGAGAGGGUGAUCGGCCACACUGGAACUGAGACACGGUCCAGACUCCUACGGGAGGCAGCAGUAGGGAAUCUUCCGCAAUGGGCGAAAGCCUGACGGAGCAACGCCGCGUGAGUGAUGAAGGUCUUCGGAUCGUAAAACUCUGUUAUUAGGGAAGAACAUAUGUGUAAGUAACUGUGCACACCUUGACGGUACCUAAUCAGAAAGCCACGGCUAACUACGUG
RNAcentral lists this ribosomal RNA (497 nucleotides) under uncultured bacterium. RNAcentral describes it as "partial 16S ribosomal RNA". It matches the Rfam family "Bacterial small subunit ribosomal RNA", at positions 28 to 507 of the family's 1533-position model. The record is from RNAcentral.